Molecule: transfer RNA, 74 nt
Filed under: Gemmatimonadota bacterium
Lineage: Bacteria; Pseudomonadati; Gemmatimonadota
Also listed under: 3 other names
Description: tRNA-Asn
Rfam family: tRNA
About the family: Transfer RNA (tRNA) molecules are approximately 80 nucleotides in length. Their secondary structure includes four short double-helical elements and three loops (D, anti-codon, and T loops).
Source: RNAcentral
UCCCGGGUAGCUCAGCUGGUUAGAGCAUCUGACUGUUAAUCAGAGGGUCGUCGGUUCGAGUCCGACCCCGGGAG